RNAcentral lists this ribosomal RNA (450 nucleotides) under uncultured bacterium. RNAcentral's name for it is "partial 16S ribosomal RNA". It matches the Rfam family "Bacterial small subunit ribosomal RNA", at positions 354 to 796 of the family's 1533-position model. The record is from RNAcentral.
GUGGGGAAUUUUGGACAAUGGGCGCAAGCCUGAUCCAGCAAUGCCGCGUGCAGGAAGAAGGCCUUCGGGUUGUAAAUUGCUUUUGUACGGAACGAAAAGGCUCUGGUUAAUACCUGGGGCUCAUGACGGUACCGUAAGAAUAAGCACCGGCUAACUACGUGCCAGCAGCCGCGGUAAUACGUAGGGUGCAAGCGUUAAUCGGAAUUACUGGGCGUAAAGCGUGCGCAGGCGGUUUUGUAAGACAGACGUGAAAUCCCCGGGCUCAACCUGGGAAUGGCGUUUGUGACUGCAAAGCUGGAGUGCGGCAGAGGGGGAUGGAAUUCCGCGUGUAGCAGUGAAAUGCGUAGAUAUGCGGAGGAACACCGAUGGCGAAGGCAAUCCCCUGGGCCUGCACUGACGCUCAUGCACGAAAGCGUGGGGAGCAAACAGGAUUAGAUACCCGAGUAGUCC